RNAcentral lists this ribosomal RNA (987 nucleotides) under Triticum aestivum (bread wheat). RNAcentral's name for it is "partial small subunit ribosomal RNA". The record is from RNAcentral. Lineage: Eukaryota; Viridiplantae; Streptophyta; Magnoliopsida; Poales; Poaceae.
AUGGCUUCUCCCUCGGAGCUGCCGGAGCUGCCGCUGGAGACGCGGUGCCUGCCGUUCGCGCUGCGCCAGUACGCCGGCUUCUGGCUGCCGGAGGCGGUGCUGGCGCGCGGCCUCCCGGCGGUGCGCGACCGCUUCGCGCCGAGGCUCGACGACGUGCUCCUCGCCAGCUUCCCCAAGUCCGGCACCACCUGGCUCAAGGCCCUCGCCUUCGCCACCGCGCGCCGUGCCGUGCACCCGCCGUCCGACCACGACCACCCGCUCCGCCACGGCAACCCGCACGACCUCGUCCCGUUCCUCGAGUUUGGCUUCACGCUCGCCUACGACGCCGACGCCCUGGCGGCCGGCCUCGAGGCGCUCCCUUCCCCGCGCCUGCUGGCCACGCACCUGCCCUUCUCCCUCCUCCCCGGCCGCCUCGCCGCCGCCGGCCGCAUCGUCUACGUCUGCCGGCACCCCAAGGACGCGCUCGUCUCAGCCUGGACCUUCACCAGGAAGGCGUCGGGGAGCAUGGGCGUGGACGCGGAGUCCUACUCGCUCCGGGAGGCCGUGGAGCUCUUCUGCGCGGGGCGCUGCGUAGCCGGCCCGCAAUGGCGGCACGUGGUCGAGUACUGGGAGGCGAGCCUCAGCCGUCGGAACGUGCUGUUCCUCAGGUACGAGGAGAUGCUCCGCGACCCCGUGGGGAGCCUGAGGACGAUGGCGGGGUUCAUGGGGUGCGCCUUCUCGCCGGGGGAGGAGGAGCGAGGCGUGCCGCAGGCCAUCGUGGAGCUGUGCAGCCUGGAGAAGCAAAAGAAUGUGGAGGCGAGUCGGGACGACGGAAGGACGGCAGAUGGCAUCAAGGCCGACGCCUACUUCAGGAAGGGGGUGGCCGCGGAUUGGAGCAGCCACAUGACGCCGGAGAUGGGGAAGAUGGUGGACGAGGCUGUGGAGGACGGGCUCCGGGGGUCUGGUUUCACCUUCGCCGACUCAACUCCGGCCAACCGUGAAAAAUGA